This 569-nucleotide non-coding RNA is filed under the name Stegodyphus mimosarum. RNAcentral describes it as "eukaryotic small subunit ribosomal RNA". It matches the Rfam family "Eukaryotic small subunit ribosomal RNA", at positions 126 to 575 of the family's 1831-position model. The record is from Rfam by way of RNAcentral. Lineage: Eukaryota; Metazoa; Arthropoda; Arachnida; Araneae; Eresidae.
UAUUUUCAGAAACGCGUUUAAUGCAAUUGAGUAUUGUUUCAAUCUAUGCUUCAGUAACUUCGUUAGAGAGCCAGAGACAUUUAAAGGAAUAAAUGCAUUUCAAUCCUCGUAGGAGACGAAGGGGAGCAAAUCCCUGUUGGUGUUGGUUUAUGAGUAGACCCAAAGUUGUUGAAGAAUGUCCUUGUACGUGUGGCGUGUUUUUGCUUUUGCCUAGUGAUUUACACUAUAAUAUGUGGCACGGCCUCGUCCAGGAGACAUAUCAUUCAAGUGUCUGUCUUAUCAACCGUCGAUGGUAGGUUACGCACCUAUCACAGUCGUCACGGGUGGCGGGGAGUCAGAGUUCUAUUUCUCAGAGGGAAUCUGAAAAAUGACUACCACUUCCAAAGACGGCAACCAGGCGUGCAAAUUACCCAUUUCCAGAACAGGGAGUUAGUUACAAAAAUUAACAAUACGCGAACUCUUUAGAGACCCCGUAACUGAAAUGAGUACACUCUAAAUCCUUGAAGGAGAUCAAUGGGAAGGCAAGUCUGGUGCCAGCAGACAAAAGAUUAAAUUAUCCAACACCAGGA